GUCCAGACUCCUACGGGAGGCAGCAGUGGGGGAUAUUGCACAAUGGGGGAAACCCUGAUGCAGCGACGCCGCGUGAGUGAAGAAGUAUUUCGGUAUGUAAAGCUCUAUCAGCAGGGAAGAAAAAAGACGGUACCUGACUAAGAAGCCCCGGCUAACUACGUGCCAGCAGCCGCGGUAAUACGUAGGGGGCAAGCGUUAUCCGGAUUUACUGGGUGUAAAGGGAGCGUAGACGGCAAUACAAGUCGGAAGUGAAAUACCCUGGCUCAACCUGGGAACUGCUUUGGAAACUGUAUGGCUGGAGUGCUGGAGAGGUAAGCUGAAUUCCUAGUGUAGCGGUGAAAUGCGUAGAUAUUAGGAGGAACACCAGUGGCGAAGGCGGCUUACUGGACAGUAACUGACGUUGAGGCUCGAAAGCGUGGGGAGCAAACAGGAUUAGAUACCCGUGUA
This 447-nucleotide ribosomal RNA is filed under the name uncultured bacterium. RNAcentral's name for it is "bacterial SSU rRNA". It matches the Rfam family "Bacterial small subunit ribosomal RNA", at positions 329 to 792 of the family's 1533-position model. The record is from RNAcentral.